This 1544-nucleotide ribosomal RNA is filed under the name Salmonella enterica subsp. enterica serovar Manhattan. RNAcentral's name for it is "partial 23S ribosomal RNA". It matches the Rfam family "Bacterial large subunit ribosomal RNA", at positions 711 to 2154 of the family's 2925-position model. Lineage: Bacteria; Pseudomonadati; Pseudomonadota; Gammaproteobacteria; Enterobacterales; Enterobacteriaceae. The record is from RNAcentral.
AGACCCGAAACCCGGUGAUCUAGCCAUGGGCAGGUUGAAGGUUGGGUAACACUAACUGGAGGACCGAACCGACUAAUGUUGAAAAAUUAGCGGAUGACCUGUGGCUGGGGGUGAAAGGCCAAUCAAACCGGGAGAUAGCUGGUUCUCCCCGAAAGCUAUUUAGGUAGCGCCUCGUGAAUUCAUCUCCGGGGGUAGAGCACUGUUUCGGCUAGGGGGCCAUCCCGGCUUACCAACCCGAUGCAAACUGCGAAUACCGGAGAAUGUUAUCACGGGAGACACACGGCGGGUGCUAACGUCCGUCGUGAAGAGGGAAACAACCCAGACCGCCAGCUAAGGUCCCAAAGUCAUGGUUAAGUGGGAAACGAUGUGGGAAGGCCCAGACAGCCAGGAUGUUGGCUUAGAAGCAGCCAUCAUUUAAAGAAAGCGUAAUAGCUCACUGGUCGAGUCGGCCUGCGCGGAAGAUGUAACGGGGCUAAACCAUGCACCGAAGCUGCGGCAGCGAACGUAUCACUUAAAGCGAUUCAGCGGGUUACGAUUGACGGAGCGAAGCGACGUCAAAGCGUAUACAAAGUCGAGUCGGUUUAAGGAUACGUUCGUUGGGUAGGGGAGCGUUCUGUAAGCCUGUGAAGGUGGCCUGUGAGGGUUGCUGGAGGUAUCAGAAGUGCGAAUGCUGACAUAAGUAACGAUAAAGCGGGUGAAAAGCCCGCUCGCCGGAAGACCAAGGGUUCCUGUCCAACGUUAAUCGGGGCAGGGUGAGUCGACCCCUAAGGCGAGGCCGAAAGGCGUAGUCGAUGGGAAACGGGUUAAUAUUCCCGUACUUGGUGUUACUGCGAAGGGGGGACGGAGAAGGCUAUGUUGGCCGGGCGACGGUUGUCCCGGUUUAAGCGUGUAGGUGUGUGUUCCAGGUAAAUCCGGUUCACUUUAACACUGAGGCGUGACGACGAGGCACUACGGUGCUGAAGCAACAAAUGCCCUGCUUCCAGGAAAAGCCUCUAAGCAUCAGGUAACAUCAAAUCGUACCCCAAACCGACACAGGUGGUCAGGUAGAGAAUACCAAGGCGCUUGAGAGAACUCGGGUGAAGGAACUAGGCAAAAUGGUGCCGUAACUUCGGGAGAAGGCACGCUGACACGUAGGUGAAGUGAUUUACUCAUGGAGCUGAAGUCAGUCGAAGAUACCAGCUGGCUGCAACUGUUUAUUAAAAACACAGCACUGUGCAAACACGAAAGUGGACGUAUACGGUGUGACGCCUGCCCGGUGCCGGAAGGUUAAUUGAUGGGGUCAGCGCAAGCGAAGCUCCUGAUCGAAGCCCCGGUAAACGGCGGCCGUAACUAUAACGGUCCUAAGGUAGCGAAAUUCCUUGUCGGGUAAGUUCCGACCUGCACGAAUGGCGUAAUGAUGGCCAGGCUGUCUCCACCCGAGACUCAGUGAAAUUGAACUCGCUGUGAAGAUGCAGUGUACCCGCGGCAAGACGGAAAGACCCCGUGAACCUUUACUAUAGCUUGACACUGAACAUUGAGCCUUGAUGUGUAGGAUAGGUGGGAGG